UACGUAGGGUGCGAGCGUUAAUCGGAAUUACUGGGCGUAAAGCGUGCGCAGGCGGUUUUGCAAGCCGGAUGUGAAAUCCCCGGGCUCAACCUGGGAAUGGCAUUCGGGACUGCAAGGCUGGAGUGCGGCAGAGGAGACUGGAAUUCCGGGUGUAGCGGUGGAAUGCGUAGAGAUCCGGAAGAACACCGGUGGCGAAGGCGGUCUGCUGGGCCAAGACUGACGCUGAGGCGCGACAGCGUGGGGAGCAAACAGG
Molecule: ribosomal RNA, 253 nt
Filed under: uncultured bacterium
Lineage: Bacteria
Description: partial 16S ribosomal RNA
Rfam family: Bacterial small subunit ribosomal RNA
Source: RNAcentral